AUAGCAUAGCUACUUGCAUCAUUGUAAAUAUGAUGCAAGAUCGACUAUGUCGAAUAAAAUUCUAGGUAGAAUUAUGAUAAUGACAUUGUCUGCCUAUGUGUCUUGACCAAAUUACGUGCCAGCAGUCGCGGUAAUACGUAGAAGACUAGUGUUAUUCAUGUUUAAUCGGUUUAAAGGGUACCUAGACGGUAAAUCAAGCCUAAAAGGAAAUAAAUGAAGGGACUAAUUUACUAGAGUUACUUAUGAGGGGGUAUUAAAGUACUGCUGGUGUAGAGAUGAAAUUCUGUCAUACCUCUUUUCAAUAGAAAAAUAAUGGCACAGGUAUAGGCGAAAGCAUCCCCUUAUGUGAUAACUGACGUUGAGGGACGAAGGCUUUGUGUAGCGAACAGGAUUAGAUACCCCAGUAGUCAAAGCAGAAAAUGAUGAAUGUCAUAGAUUAGAUAUAUAAGUUUAUUCUAUAAAUGAAAGUGUAAGCAUUCCACCUCAAGAGUAAUUUGGCAACAUUGGAACUGAAAUCAUUAGACCGUUUCUGAAACCAGUAGUGAAGUAUGUUGUUUAAUUUGAUGAUCCGCAAAAAACCUUACCACAAUUUGAAUAUUUAUAUCUUUUAUUGUUUUUCUUUUUAACUUUCUUCUGAUUUUCUACUUAAAAGAAAACAAUAACAAGGAAAAAGAGGCAAUAAGAUAUAUUUACAAGCGUUGCACGGCUGUCUUCAGUUAAUGUCGCGAGACUCUGGUUAGUUCCAUUAAUUAACGUAAACCCUUACUUUAUUUUUAUAUAGAGUAGUUCCCCGCUAUAUUGGAUAUGAUAACAGGGACUAAGACAAGUCAUCA
This 833-nucleotide ribosomal RNA is filed under the name Nephromopsis nivalis. RNAcentral describes it as "SSU rRNA". It matches the Rfam family "Bacterial small subunit ribosomal RNA", at positions 388 to 1195 of the family's 1533-position model. Lineage: Eukaryota; Fungi; Ascomycota; Lecanoromycetes; Lecanorales; Parmeliaceae. The record is from RNAcentral.